UGGGGAAUAUUGCACAAUGGACGGAAGUCUGAUGCAGCAACGCCGCGUGCGGGAUGACGGCCUUCGGGUUGUAAACCGCUUUUUCUCAUGACGAAGUUUUUUGACGGUAGUGGGGGAAGAAGCACCGGCUAACUACGUGCCAGCAGCCGCGGUGAUACGUAGGGUGCGAGCGUUGUCCGGAAUUAUUGGGCGUAAAGAGCUUGUAGGCGGUUUGUCGCGUCGAUAGUGCAAACUCGGUGCUUAACGCUGAGCCUGCUGUUGAUACGGGCAGACUAGAGGAAGGUAGGGGGGAAUGGAAUUCCCGGUGGAGAGGUGGAAUGCGCAGAUAUCGGGAGGAACACCGGUGGCGAAGGCGGUUCUCUGGGCCUUUCCUGACGCUGAGAAGCGAAAGCGUGGGGAGCGAACAGG
RNAcentral lists this ribosomal RNA (408 nucleotides) under Fusobacteriota bacterium. Its description in RNAcentral is "Fusobacteria bacterium partial 16S ribosomal RNA". It matches the Rfam family "Bacterial small subunit ribosomal RNA", at positions 355 to 776 of the family's 1533-position model. The record is from RNAcentral. Lineage: Bacteria; Fusobacteriati; Fusobacteriota.